ACUCCUACGGGAGGCAGCAGUGGGGAAUAUUGCACAAUGGGCGCAAGCCUGAUGCAGCCAUGCCGCGUGUAUGAAGAAGGCCUUCGGGUUGUAAAGUACUUUCAGCAGUGAGGAAGGUGGGGUAUGUUAAUAGCAUAUUCUAUUUGUACGUUAGCUGCAGAAGAAGCACCGGCUAACUCCGUGCCAGCAGCCGCGGUAAUACGGAGGGUGCGAGCGUUAAUCGGAAUUACUGGGCGUAAAGCGCAUGCAGGUGGUUUGUUAAGUCAGAUGUGAAAGCCCGGGGCUCAACCUCGGAAUUGCAUUUGAAACUGGCAAACUAGAGUACUGUAGAGGGGGUAGAAUUUCAGGUGUAGCGGUGAAAUGCGUAGAGAUCUGAAGGAAUACCGGUGGCGAAGGCGGCCCCUGGACAGAUACUGACACUCAGAUGCGAAAGCGUGGGAGCAAACAGGAUUAGAU
Molecule: ribosomal RNA, 456 nt
Filed under: uncultured bacterium
Lineage: Bacteria
Description: bacterial SSU rRNA
Rfam family: Bacterial small subunit ribosomal RNA
Source: RNAcentral